UGAGCAAUCUGCCCUUCUCAUCGGAAUAAGCGUUGGAAACGACGUCUAAUGCCGAAUACGACCUCCUUUCGCAUGAUUGGAGGUGGAAAGCUCCGGCGGAGAAGGAUGAGCUCGCGGCCUAUCAGCUAGUUGGUGUGGGUAACGGCCCACCAAGGCGACGACGGGUAGCCGGCCUGAGAGGGUGACCGGCCACACUGGGACUGAGACACGGCCCAGACUCCGUACGGGAGGNAGCG
RNAcentral lists this ribosomal RNA (236 nucleotides) under uncultured bacterium. RNAcentral describes it as "partial 16S ribosomal RNA". It matches the Rfam family "Bacterial small subunit ribosomal RNA", at positions 118 to 353 of the family's 1533-position model. The record is from RNAcentral.